GAAUGCUGACAUAAGUAACGAUAAAGCGGGUGAAAAGCCCGCUCGCCGGAAGACCAAGGGUUCCUGUCCAACGUUAAUCGGGGCAGGGUGAGUCGACCCCUAAGGCGAGGCCGAAAGGCGUAGUCGAUGGGAAACGGGUUAAUAUUCCCGUACUUGGUGUUACUGCGAAGGGGGGACGGAGAAGGCUAUGUUGGCCGGGCGACGGUUGUCCCGGUUUAAGCGUGUAGGUGUGUGUUCCAGGUAAAUCCGGUUCACUUUAACACUGAGGCGUGACGACGAGGCACUACGGUGCUGAAGCAACAAAUGCCCUGCUUCCAGGAAAAGCCUCUAAGCAUCAGGUAACAUCAAAUCGUACCCCAAACCGACACAGGUGGUCAGGUAGAGAAUACCAAGGCGCUUGAGAGAACUCGGGUGAAGGAACUAGGCAAAAUGGUGCCGUAACUUCGGGAGAAGGCACGCUGACACGUAGGUGAAGUGAUUUACUCAUGGAGCUGAAGUCAGUCGAAGAUACCAGCUGGCUGCAACUGUUUAUUAAAAACACAGCACUGUGCAAACACGAAAGUGGACGUAUACGGUGUGACGCCUGCCCGGUGCCGGAAGGUUAAUUGAUGGGGUCAGCGCAAGCGAAGCUCCUGAUCGAAGCCCCGGUAAACGGCGGCCGUAACUAUAACGGUCCUAAGGUAGCGAAAUUCCUUGUCGGGUAAGUUCCGACCUGCACGAAUGGCGUAAUGAUGGCCAGGCUGUCUCCACCCGAGACUCAGUGAAAUUGAACUCGCUGUGAAGAUGCAGUGUACCCGCGGCAAGACGGAAAGACCCCGUGAACCUUUACUAUAGCUUGACACUGAACAUUGAGCCUUGAUGUGUAGGAUAGGUGGGAGGCUUUGAAGUGUGGACGCCAGUCUGCAUGGAGCCGACCUUGAAAUACCACCCUUUAAUGUUUGAUGUUCUAACGUGGACCCGUUACCCGGGUUGCGGACAGUGUCUGGUGGGUAGUUUGACUGGGGCGGUCUCCUCCUAAAGAGUAACGGAGGAGCACGAAGGUUGGCUAAUCCUGGUCGGACAUCAGGAGGUUAGUGCAAUGGCAUAAGCCAGCUUGACUGCGAGCGUGACGGCGCGAGCAGGUGCGAAAGCAGGUCAUAGUGAUCCGGUGGUUCUGAAUGGAAGGGCCAUCGCUCAACGGAUAAAAGGUACUCCGGGGAUAACAGGCUGAUACCGCCCAAGAGUUCAUAUCGACGGCGGUGUUUGGCACCUCGAUGUCGGCUCAUCACAUCCUGGGGCUGAAGUAGGUCCCAAGGGUAUGGCUGUUCGCCAUUUAAAGUGGUACGCGAGCUGGGUUUAGAACGUCGUGAGACAGUUCGGUCCCUAUCUGCCGUGGGCGCUGGAGAACUGAGGGGGGCUGCUCCUAGUACGAGAGGACCGGAGUGGACGCAUCACUGGUGUUCGGGUUGUCAUGCCAAUGGCACUGCCCGGUAGCUAAAUGCGGAAGAGAUAAGUGCUGAAAGCAUCUAAGCACGAAACUUGCCCCGAGAUGAGUUCUCCCUGAGACUUAGAGUCUCCUGAAGGAACGUUGAAGACGACGACGUUGAUAGGC
RNAcentral lists this ribosomal RNA (1591 nucleotides) under Salmonella enterica subsp. enterica serovar Enteritidis. RNAcentral describes it as "partial 23S ribosomal RNA". It matches the Rfam family "Bacterial large subunit ribosomal RNA", at positions 1292 to 2861 of the family's 2925-position model. The record is from RNAcentral. Lineage: Bacteria; Pseudomonadati; Pseudomonadota; Gammaproteobacteria; Enterobacterales; Enterobacteriaceae.